UAACAAGCGACGGGUCUGUUUCCCGUAAGCCCUCCACUCCUGUACUUAUUAACUUUUUAUGAGAGAAGUUAAUUUUUCUUUGUCCGUGUAGUUCUGCUUCUACCCCAGUAUUGGUGUUCACCCACUCGUGAGGUUGGUUAUCACACCAACGAAAAUUUUGGUGUCAGAAGUCGGAUAGCCGAGACUUGAAUGAAAUUUUCUGGCAAAAGGAAAUUUUAUUAUAUCCAGGAGAUCGAGUCUUCCAAAGGAGAAGAAUUAGGACUUGACAACACCGUUAGCAUGAGACGUCCCGGAUCGGGUCUUUCUGCCUAGUAGCUGAAACGAGUGACUACACUGAGGAAAACUACAGAGUGCCGCUAUAACGUAAAUAAUAAUGAAGGAACACCAAUAACCAUCUACCGAGGCAAGAACCAGGGUUCGAGAGAUUAGAUCCAGGAUGAACUUCACCGCACCUGUGUGAGGUUCUAGACAUUCGAGGGGUGCCGAAAAUAAUUCUGACACAAUUCAUGAGAUUUGCAGAGACUUUUCUUAUUCCUUCGUAAGUCCACCAUAAGCGACACAGCUGUAGUGAAGAGGGGAAAGAUUAAGGAAGAGACAAGAACCUUACGAGUGGUGAAAGGCAGAAGGAGCCAGGACCGGCGAAAUUGCAUCCAACACAGCGUAGGGAAAUUUGGAAAAUGUGUGGUUUCCAGGAAAAGUUUGGUCGAAGGUAACAUCAAGGUGUUUAACAAUGGAACAGAAAGAGAUAGGCUGGUUGAUGAUCGUGAAAGACUCCUUUGGCAGGGAUUUGCAGAGGUGACAAGGAGAGGACAGCUGGCAUACCGGGCCGUGUGGCAUCCAAUUUAUGCAAGAAGGCGGAUCCUCACAUUAUGUAUCAGUUGCGACUGCUUCUCUGGCACAUUUACAACCUCUUUCGGAGAAGUGCACCGCACAGAGAUGUGACCAGACCUCUGCCACUUGUAACAGCGCAUCAGUUCUGGAAUGUAUGGGCGAACUCGUAGCCUAUAGAAUGCGGCCUUUACCCUCUUGAGGGCAUAAUAGAGUGUCGAAAGUGAGGACGAGGCUCGCCGAGGGUAUGUUUGUCCGUCACGCCGCGCACACAAUCUUCUCUCCUCCAAUAUCCAUUUUCUAGGCGGUUUUUAGUCUAUUCGACGCUGCAGUCCACGAGGUCGUGGCAGAUCACCACCUACCUAGAAGUAUGCAACCUCGGUGGAGAGCAAAAUCGACUUCAUGGCCAUCUAGCGUUGUAAGUUUCUUUAUUCGGUCACUAAUUGCAGCGUGAUUUAUUCCAACAUAAAGUUUCCCAUCUCCUGUUUUGGUUGUGCUUUCGGUCCGACCAAUGCUUUCAUUUAUACUUUUCAACAAAAGGAAAGAACAUGUUGCUUUGAAGUCCCCGUCCAUCCGCGUGAUGACGUAUCUCAGAUCAUUUUCACCUACCUUUUACCACGGAUAACGGCGAGGAAGGAUAUGAAUGUUCAGAAACAAGAGAGAGUAAUUGUUUGGUUAAAACAUAGUUUGAUGAAUUCAAGAGUUUUAUUCAAAUUCUCUUCACCCAGGAAGCAAAUCACGUAAAUCAGAGUGUUUUACUUUUCUUCCCUUUUAAAUUCUAGGUAGCGGCCGCUAUUAAUAACUUACUAACAGAAUUUUAAACCUAGUCUUUGAGUUGGUCUUCUGUCAUGGAAAUGAGAACCUCUUUUCCGGACUUUGCCUAAUAAUAGAAUAAAUUUACACCUUAAGUCCGGGAAGUUGGACUUGGUGACACUUCCUUCAUAAUACAACGCUUGUUCAAAAAUUUGCACCUCAAUUAUGAUCCGUUGAGGGAAUCGGGCUGUCCUUUAUUUGUUCGGCUCCCAUAAUUGCUACGAAUCAAUUUAAACACACGUGUAUGCCUUUCGUCUGGUAGAAUUUCUGAAAUGGAUAGUUACCCUUAUGACUUGUAGGUUAUGUUGUGUGUAUAAUACAUGACGAUUUUCUAUGAAAAGAAAACAAAAACACAACGCCUGCAUUGUCAGACCCACCAAUGAGGAAUGAUGCCGAAAAUCAUCUGACAGUGAAAAAAAAACGAACAACGAAACACCCCGCAGACUCCUAUAGGAAAAAAAUAGUUUAAAUAAUUAAUUGUUGUUAAAAUUAUAUCAAUAAUUUUUUAUGUGUUUUAUUCUGACUUGAUUUGUAAAUGGGAUAAAACCUACAUGGAGUUUAAAACGUGUAAUUGAACUUGAAAUAGAGGCUUCGCUUGUUCCCGUUUAAUGGCUGGUCACAUGCUAGCAAUCGGUUUGAAUUCUCUGAAUUGUCAGACCCACCAAUGAAGAAUACAAGAUGCCGAAAAUCAUCUGACAGAGGAAAACAAACCGGGAACGACAGAACACCCCGCAGACUCCUAUAGGUAAAAAAUUAGGUUAAAUAAUUAAUUAGUUGUUAAAAUUGUAUCAAUGCUUUUUUUUAAGCUAACUUGAUUUAUAAAUGGGAUAAAACCUACAUUGAGUUUAUAACGUGAGGUUGAACUGGAAAUAGUGGCUUCGCUUGUUGUCGUUUAAUGGCUGGUCAUUGGCUAGCAAUCGGUUUAAAUUCUCUACUGGAUCUUUUUAAUCGAUCUAGGCUGAAAUAAAUAGAAAUCCCAGAUCAGCGUAGGACAAUAAAUCAGUCGAUGAAUCCGCGCCACACAUACAGGAGGAAUUGUUCGUGGCACCAUGUCCGAUGAAGACUUGUUUGUUUCAGUUUCAACUAUUUUUUCCCUAUUCCUAUUUCUUAUUUGGUAUCAACUUAGAACGUAUAUUCUCAAUGAAUCAAUUUCAAAGAGAAAAUGUUGUUCAUUCGCAAUCGCAUCCGAAUAAGUCAUAAAUUAUAAACUACAGUGUUAAAGUAGCCAAAUUUCUAAUUAACAUAAUCCGACCAGUGACCUUGGCGUUUAUUGAGAAAGAAGAUUUACGAUUCUCUGAUAAUUUAUAAUUAACCAGUCUCAUGGUAGACGUGAACGGUUCUCCAAAAGAGAAACUCUUUCUGAAGAAAAACAAAAAAACCUUCCUUUUGUUCUGCCGUGCCAUACAUUGCAUGAUCCAUGGUGCACAUGCAACAUGACUACACUAAAUGGACUAAUUGUAUUUCUAUUUUUUCAUGGGCUCAGGCAUAUAUUAUUUGACGAAAAAACAAAUGAGUUUUUUUAAAGUAGUGAAGUAACUAAGAGGAAUAUGAAACGGUUAAAACAAUUAAGAAGUGGGGAACGAAGUGACAACCUAGUUAAAAAUAACCAUGCCUAUCGAUAAACAAUCAACAUAGUUAUAAGUUACUACGUAGUUUUUACAAUAUAAUCGAUAUUAAAAUAUAUUUUUUGUUUUUCUCUCCUUGUUUAUCUAUAC
Molecule: long non-coding RNA, 3356 nt
Filed under: Cimex lectularius (bed bug)
Lineage: Eukaryota; Metazoa; Arthropoda; Insecta; Hemiptera; Cimicidae
Description: uncharacterized LOC106672725, transcript variant X1
Source: RNAcentral